RNAcentral lists this long non-coding RNA (1320 nucleotides) under Homo sapiens (human). RNAcentral's name for it is "non-protein coding lnc-SLC15A4-23:1". Lineage: Eukaryota; Metazoa; Chordata; Mammalia; Primates; Hominidae. The record is from RNAcentral.
CAGCCUUUAAAAAAAAGAAAGAAAUCUGCUAUUUGAGACAACAUGGAUGAACCCGGAGGACAUUAUAUUAAGUGAAAUAAGCCAAAGAAAGAAAGACGAAUACUGCAUAAUCUCACCUCUAUGUGAAAUCUAAAAAGUCAAACUCAUGGAAACGGUGGAGGAGUGGUUACCAGAGGUCGUGGGAUGGGGAAAAAAGGGGAGUUAGUGGCCAAACGGUGCAGACUUGCAGUUACAAAAUGAGUAAGUUCUGAAGACCUAAUGAACAACAUGGUGCCUGUAGUUAAUAACAUGUUGUUUAUUUGAAAUUUACUAAGAGAGUAGAGCUUAAGUAUUCCCACCACACAAAAAACAAAAAAAUUAACUAUUAAUAUAUGAGUUGAUGGACAUGUCAGCUUAAUUGUCUUAAUCAUUUCACAGUGUAAAUGUUUAUCAAAACAUCACAUUGUACAUUUUAAAUAUGUACAACUUUUUUUUUUUUUCUUGAGAUGGAGUUUCACUCUUGUUGCCCAGGCUGGAGUGCAAUGGCAUGACUCGGCUCACCGCGACCUCCGCCUCCUGGAUUCAAGUGAUUCUCCUGCCUCAGCCUCUAGAGUAGCUGGGAUUACAGGCAUGCGCCACCACGCCUGGCUAAUUUUGUAUUUUUUUAGUAGGCAUGGGGUUUCUCCACGUUAGUCAGGCUGGUCUCGAACUCCGGACCUCAGGUGAUCCACUUGCCUCCGUCUCCCAAAGUGCUGCGAUUAUAGGCGUGAGCCACCGCACCUUGUGAAUUAUACCUCAAUAAUGUUGAAAAAAUACCAAAAAUCCCCCAGAAAACAUAUUAACUGACAAUGAUAUAUUUUUAAUUUUUAAAAUACCCUGGUAAUACUGAGGGGAAAAAAAGCUUGAAUAAAAAGUAGAUCAAGGUGUGGCACAAUUAAGUCAUUAUUAUGACCACAGUGGCUGCUCUCACUGCUGUGGCUACUAGCACCUCCACCGCCGUAACCUCUCCUUUCUGUUCCUUUCAUGACACAAUUUUAGCCCGUAGGAUUGACUUCCUGUUUUGCAAGUGCAAGAAAUGGCACUCUGAGACUUCACCCACUUCUCCUGUUAGAUAUUCGUUAGUUUUGUCAUUUUUUUCGUGGCCGAGUUUGUGACAUGGGUAACCUCUUAUAGAUCCUAAUUCCCCCCUUCUGCUAUCGUUGUUUCUCUGCUGGGGAACUAUGCUAGGCUUCUCUUUCUCGUUCCGUUGGUCACUAACAGGCCAUCUGAUUCUUUCCAUCCUCAGAGAUGAUUGGCAUCUUUUAUCUGCUGAUAGCCCUAUGUUGUUGCGAGAUCACAACU